GGUUAUCGGAGGAUGAGACCUGAAUUCAUAACC
This is a regulatory RNA element of Flavobacterium rivuli, 33 nucleotides long. It matches the Rfam family "S4-Flavobacteria ribosomal protein leader". Lineage: Bacteria; Pseudomonadati; Bacteroidota; Flavobacteriia; Flavobacteriales; Flavobacteriaceae. The record is from Rfam.